GAUGAACGCUGGCGGCGUGCCUAAUACAUGCAAGUCGAGCGAACGGACGAGAAGCUUGCUUUUCUGAUGUUAGCGGCGGACGGGUGAGUAACACGUGGAUAACCUACCUAUAAGACUGGGAUAACUUCGGGAAACCGGAGCUAAUACCGGAUAAUAUUUUGAACCGCAUGGUUCAAAAGUGAAAGACGGUCUUGCUGUCACUUAUAGAUGGAUCCGCGCUGCAUUAGCUAGUUGGUAAGGUAACGGCUUACCAAGGCAACGAUGCAUAGCCGACCUGAGAGGGUGAUCGGCCACACUGGAACUGAGACACGGUCCAGACUCCUACGGGAGGCAGCAGUAGGGAAUCCUCCGCAAAGGGCGAAAGCCUGACGGAGCAACGCCGCGUGAGUGAUGAAGGUCUUCGGAUCGUAAAACUCUGUUAUUAGGGAAGAACAUAUGUGUAAGUAACUGUGCACAUCUUGACGGUACCUAAUCAGAAAGCCACGGCUAACUACGUG
Molecule: ribosomal RNA, 497 nt
Filed under: uncultured bacterium
Lineage: Bacteria
Description: partial 16S ribosomal RNA
Rfam family: Bacterial small subunit ribosomal RNA
Source: RNAcentral